This 468-nucleotide ribosomal RNA is filed under the name uncultured bacterium. Its description in RNAcentral is "partial 16S ribosomal RNA". It matches the Rfam family "Bacterial small subunit ribosomal RNA", at positions 28 to 507 of the family's 1533-position model. The record is from RNAcentral.
GACGAACGCUGGCGGCGUGCUUAACACAUGCAAGUCGAACGGAAAGGCUCUGCUUUUGUGGUGUUCCCGAGUUUCGAACGGAUGAGUAACACGUGAGUAACCUCCCCUUGACUUUGGGAUAACGUCAGGAAACUGGGGCUAAUACCGGAUCUGAGCUCCUUCUGAAUGGUGGGGGUCGGAAAGUUUCGGCGGUUGGGGAUGGACGCGCGGUUUAUCAUCUUGUUGGUGGGGCAGAGGCUUACCAAGGCUUUGACGGGUAGCCAGACUGAGAGGGAGACCGGCCACAGAGGGACUGGGGAGCGAGCAAGACGGAUUCGGGAGGAAGAAGUGAGAGACAUAGCGAGAAAGGCGGAGGGAGGAAGGAGGGACGCCGCGUGGUAGAUGACGGCCUUCGGGGAGUAAACCGCAUUGGCCUGUGAAGAAGCGUGAGUGACGGUAAUGGAUAAAGAAGCAACGGCUAACUACGUG